AUUGAACGCUGGCGGCAUGCCUUACACAUGCAAGUCGAACGGUAACAGGUCUUCGGAUGCUGACGAGUGGCGAACGGGUGAGUAAUACAUCGGAACGUGCCUAGUAGUGGGGGAUAACUACUCGAAAGAGUGGCUAAUACCGCAUGAGAUCUACGGAUGAAAGCAGGGGAUCGCAAGACCUUGUGCUACUAGAGCGGCCGAUGGCAGAUUAGGUAGUUGGUGGGAUAAAAGCUUACCAAGCCGACGAUCUGUAGCUGGUCUGAGAGGACGAUCAGCCGCCCUGGGACGGAGACACGGCCCAGACUCCUACGGGAGGCAGCAGUGGGGAAUUUUGGACAUUGGGCGCAAGCCUGAUCCAGCAAUGCCGCGUGCAGGAUGAAGGCCUUCGGGUUGUAAACUGCUUUUGUACGGAACGAAAAGCCCCGGGUUAAUACCCUGGGGUCAUGACGGUACCGUAAGAAUAAGCACCGGCUAACUACGUGCCAGCCGCCGCAGUAA
This 498-nucleotide ribosomal RNA is filed under the name uncultured bacterium. RNAcentral describes it as "partial 16S ribosomal RNA". It matches the Rfam family "Bacterial small subunit ribosomal RNA", at positions 30 to 523 of the family's 1533-position model. The record is from RNAcentral.